Molecule: ribosomal RNA, 1027 nt
Filed under: Glutamicibacter nicotianae
Lineage: Bacteria; Bacillati; Actinomycetota; Actinomycetes; Micrococcales; Micrococcaceae
Description: bacterial SSU rRNA
Rfam family: Bacterial small subunit ribosomal RNA
Source: RNAcentral
AACGAUGAAGCCCUGCUUGCAGGGUGGAUUAGUGGCGAACGGGUGAGUAACACGUGAGUAACCUGCCCCCGACUCUGGGAUAAGCCCGGGAAACUGGGUCUAAUACCGGAUAUGACUUCCUACUGCAUGGUGGGUUGUUGAAAGAUUUAUCGGUGGGGGAUGGACUCGCGGCCUAUCAGCUUGUUGGUGAGGUAAUGGCUCACCAAGGCGACGACGGGUAGCCGGCCUGAGAGGGUGACCGGCCACACUGGGACUGAGACACGGCCCAGACUCCUACGGGAGGCAGCAGUGGGGAAUAUUGCACAAUGGGCGGAAGCCUGAUGCAGCGACGCCGCGUGAGGGAUGACGGCCUUCGGGUUGUAAACCUCUUUCAGUAGGGAAGAAGCGAAAGUGACGGUACCUGCAGAAGAAGCGCCGGCUAACUACGUGCCAGCAGCCGCGGUAAUACGUAGGGCGCAAGCGUUAUCCGGAUUUAUUGGGCGUAAAGAGCUCGUAGGCGGUUUGUCGCGUCUGCCGUGAAAGUCCGAGGCUCAACCUCGGAUCUGCGGUGGGUACGGGCAGACUAGAGUGAUGUAGGGGAGACUGGAAUUCCUGGUGUAGCGGUGAAAUGCGCAGAUAUCAGGAGGAACACCGAUGGCGAAGGCAGGUCUCUGGGCAUUUACUGACGCUGAGGAGCGAAAGCAUGGGGAGCGAACAGGAUUAGAUACCCUGGUAGUCCAUGCCGUAAACGUUGGGCACUAGGUGUGGGGGACAUUCCACGUUUUCCGCGCCGUAGCUAACGCAUUAAGUGCCCCGCCUGGGGAGUACGGCCGCAAGGCUAAAACUCAAAGGAAUUGACGGGGGCCCGCACAAGCGGCGGAGCAUGCGGAUUAAUUCGAUGCAACGCGAAGAACCUUACCAAGGCUUGACAUGUGCCAGACCGCUCCAGAGAUGGGGUUUCCCUUCGGGGCUGGUUCACAGGUGGUGCAUGGUUGUCGUCAGCUCGUGUCGUGAGAUGUUGGGUUAAGUCCCGCAACGAGCGCAACCC